GUCCACGCUGUAAACGAUGAGCACUAGGUGUGGGAGGGUUCAGUCCCUUCCGUGCCGCAGCUAACGCAUUAAGUGCUCCGCCUGGGGAGUACGGCCGCAAGGUUGAAACUCAAAGGAAUUGACGGGGGCCCGCACAAGCGGUGGAGCAUGUGGUUCAAUUCGAUGCAGAGCGAAGAACCUUACCUGGGCUUGACAUGCAGGAAGUAGAAACCGGAAACGGCGACGACCUGUUAAGUCAGGAACCUGCACAGGUGGUGCAUGGCUGUCGU
This 269-nucleotide ribosomal RNA is filed under the name uncultured bacterium. Its description in RNAcentral is "partial 16S ribosomal RNA". It matches the Rfam family "Bacterial small subunit ribosomal RNA", at positions 793 to 1055 of the family's 1533-position model. The record is from RNAcentral.